GCCAGGCAUGGUGGUGGGUGCCUGUAAUCCCAGCUACCAGGAGGCUGAGGCAGGAGAAUCACUUGAACCCAGGAGGCAGAGGUUGCAGUGAGCCAAGAUUGCACCACUGCACUCCAACCUGGGCAAUAGAGUGAGACUCUGUCUCAA
Molecule: unclassified non-coding RNA, 147 nt
Organism: Callithrix jacchus (white-tufted-ear marmoset)
Lineage: Eukaryota; Metazoa; Chordata; Mammalia; Primates; Cebidae
Rfam family: Metazoan signal recognition particle RNA
About the family: The signal recognition particle (SRP) is a universally conserved ribonucleoprotein. It is involved in the co-translational targeting of proteins to membranes.
Source: Ensembl